This is a long non-coding RNA of Anguilla anguilla (European eel), 282 nucleotides long. RefSeq lists it as uncharacterized. NCBI's taxonomy places the organism in Eukaryota, Metazoa, Chordata, Actinopteri, Anguilliformes, Anguillidae. The transcript has 3 exons. The record is from RefSeq and is a predicted model, not a curated record.
CUUGCCGUCUCGCUGGAAUACACUCGGAGCGACUGAGCUAUGGACGCCCGGCAAAACGCGAAGGCUAGCAGUGGACUGCAGUCCACCAGCUGCAGGAGUUCUGAUGUCACUACCUCACUGCUUUGGGCCAGACACAGUACUCCACCGGCAGGAGACAAGACAGGAGCAAUGACAUCACUUCCUCACAGCCAGUAAACAGAUGUUCUACACUGCACAGGACCACCAGAGCAACCUGAAGGAGCUAUGAUGUCACUACCUCAUCCCCGGUGGACAGGAACUGCA